GAUCUGGCUCAGGAUGAACGCUAGCGACAGGCUUAACACAUGCAAGUCGAGGGGCAGCACGGUGUAGCAAUACACUGGUGGCGACCGGCGCACGGGUGAGUAACACGUGUGCAACCAACCCCGUACCGGGAGAUAACCCGCGGAAACGUGGACUAACAUCCCAUGAUACUCGAGAGCCGCAUGGCUCUCGAUUUAAAAUUCCGGUGGUACGGGACGGGCACGCGCGACAUUAGGUAGUUGGCGGGGUAACGG
Molecule: ribosomal RNA, 252 nt
Filed under: uncultured bacterium
Lineage: Bacteria
Description: partial 16S ribosomal RNA
Rfam family: Bacterial small subunit ribosomal RNA
Source: RNAcentral